GAGGAUAUAGCUCAGUGGUAGAGUGUAUGCUUAGCAUGCACAAGGUCCUGGGUUCAAUCCCCAGUACCUCCA
Molecule: transfer RNA, 72 nt
Filed under: Camelus bactrianus (Bactrian camel)
Lineage: Eukaryota; Metazoa; Chordata; Mammalia; Artiodactyla; Camelidae
Also listed under: 2 other names
Rfam family: tRNA
About the family: Transfer RNA (tRNA) molecules are approximately 80 nucleotides in length. Their secondary structure includes four short double-helical elements and three loops (D, anti-codon, and T loops).
Source: Rfam by way of RNAcentral